UGGGGAAUAUUGGACAAUGGGCGAAAGCCUGAUCCAGCAAUGCCGCGUGUGUGAAGAAGGUCUUCGGAUUGUAAAGCACUUUCGACGGGGACGAUGAUGACGGUUACCCGUAGAAGAAGCCCCGGCUAACUUCGUGACAG
Molecule: ribosomal RNA, 140 nt
Filed under: uncultured bacterium
Lineage: Bacteria
Description: partial 16S ribosomal RNA
Rfam family: Bacterial small subunit ribosomal RNA
Source: RNAcentral